GACGAACCCUUGCGGCGUGCUUAACACAUGCAAGUCGAACGGAAAGGCCCUGCUUUUGUGGGGUGCUCGAGUGGCGAACGGGUGAGUAACACGUGAGUAACCUGCCCUUGACUUUGGGAUAACUUCAGGAAACUGGGGCUAAUACCGGAUAGGAGCUCCUGCUGCAUGGUGGGGGUUGGAAAGUUUCGGCGGUUGGGGAUGGACUCGCGGCUUAUCAGCUUGUUGGUGGGGUAGUGGCUUACCAAGGCUUUGACGGGUAGCCGGCCUGAGAGGGUGACCGGCCACAUUGGGACUGAGAUACGGCCCAGACUCCUACGGGAGGCAGCAGUGGGGAAUAUUGCACAAUGGGCGGAAGCCUGAUGCAGCAACGCCGCGUGCGGGAUGACGGCCUUCGGGUUGUAAACCGCUUUCGCCUGUGACGAAGCGUGAGUGAUGGUAAUGGGUAAAGAAGCACCGACUAACUACGUGCCAGCAGCCGCGGUGAUACGUAGGGUGCGAGCGUUGUCCGGAUUUAUUGGGCGUAAAGGGCUCGUAGGUGGUUGAUCGCGUCGGAAGUGUAAUCUUGGGGCUUAACCCUGAGCGUGCUUUCGAUGCGGGUUGACUUGAGGAAGGUAGGGGAGAAUGGAAUUCCUGGUGGAGCGGUGGAAUGCGCAGAUAUCAGGAGGAACACCAGUGGCGAAGGCGGUUCUCUGGGCCUUUCCUGACGCUGAGGAGCGAAAGCGUGGGGAGCGAACAGGCUUAGAUACCCUGGUAGUCCACGCUGUAAACGGUGGGUACUAGGUGUGGGGUCCAUUCCACGGGUUCCGUGCCGUAGCUAACGCUUUAAGUACCCCGCCUGGGGAGUACGGCCGCAAGGCUAAAACUCAAAGGAAUUGACGGGGCCCCGCACAAGCGGCGGAGCAUGCGGAUUAAUUCGAUGCAACGCGUAGAACCUUACCUGGGUUUGACAUGGAUCGGGAGUGCUCAGAGAUGGGUGUGCCUCUUUUGGGGUCGGUUCACAGGUGGUGCAUGGCUGUCGUCAGCUCGUGUCGUGAGAUGUUGGGUUAAGUCCCGCAACGAGCGCAACCCUUGUUCACUGUUGCCAGCACGUUAUGGUGGGGACUCAGUGGAGACCGCCGGGGUCAACUCGGAGGAAGGUGGGGAUGACGUCAAGUCAUCAUGCCCCUUAUGUCCAGGGCUUCACGCAUGCUACAAUGGCUGGUACAGAGAGUGGCGAGCCUGUGAGGGUGAGCGAAUCUCGGAAAGCCGGUCUCAGUUCGGAUUGGGGUCUGCAACUCGACCUCAUGAAGUCGGAGUCGCUAGUAAUCGCAGAUCAGCAACGCUGCGGUGAAUACGUUCCCGGG
RNAcentral lists this ribosomal RNA (1343 nucleotides) under uncultured bacterium. RNAcentral's name for it is "16S ribosomal RNA". It matches the Rfam family "Bacterial small subunit ribosomal RNA", at positions 28 to 1378 of the family's 1533-position model. The record is from RNAcentral.